RNAcentral lists this ribosomal RNA (432 nucleotides) under uncultured Alphaproteobacteria bacterium. RNAcentral describes it as "bacterial SSU rRNA". It matches the Rfam family "Bacterial small subunit ribosomal RNA", at positions 8 to 458 of the family's 1533-position model. Lineage: Bacteria; Pseudomonadati; Pseudomonadota; Alphaproteobacteria. The record is from RNAcentral.
AGAGUUUGAUCCUGGCUCAGAACGAACGCUGGCGGCAGGCCUAACACAUGCAAGUCGAACGAGAAGCUUCUUUCGGGAAGUGGAGAGUGGCGCACGGGUGAGUAACGCGUGGGAAUUUACCUUCUGGUACGGGAUAACGUUUGGAAACGAACGCUAAUACGGUAUGAGCUCUACGGAGUAAAGAUUUAUCGCCAGAGGAUGAGCCCGCGUAGGAUUAGAUAGUUGGUGGGGUAACGGCCUACCAAGUCGACGAUCUUUAGCUGUUCUGAGAGGAAGAUCAGCCACACUGGAACUGAGACACGGUCCAGACUCCUACGGGAGGCAGCAGUGGGGAAUAUUGGACAAUGGGGGCAACCCUGAUCCAGCCAUGCCGCGUGAGUGAAGAAGGCCUUAGGGUUGUAAAGCUCUUUCGCUAGGGAAGAUAAUGACGGU